RNAcentral lists this ribosomal RNA (253 nucleotides) under uncultured bacterium. RNAcentral's name for it is "partial 16S ribosomal RNA". It matches the Rfam family "Bacterial small subunit ribosomal RNA", at positions 524 to 776 of the family's 1533-position model. The record is from RNAcentral.
UACAGAGGAUGCAAGCGUUAUCCGGAAUGAUUGGGCGUAAAGCGUCUGUAGGUGGCUUUUUAAGUCCGCCGUCAAAUCCCAGGGCUCAACUCUGGACAGGCGGUGGAAACUACCAAGCUGGAGUACGGUAGGGGCAGAGGGAAUUUCCGGUGGAGCGGUGAAAUGCGUAGAUAUCGUUUGGAACGCCAAUGGUGAAAACAGGCAACUAGGGAUGUGCUGACACUGAGACACGAAAGCCAGGGGAGCGAACGGG